Molecule: ribosomal RNA, 1678 nt
Filed under: Phenacogrammus interruptus (Congo tetra)
Lineage: Eukaryota; Metazoa; Chordata; Actinopteri; Characiformes; Alestidae
Description: 16S rRNA
Rfam family: Bacterial large subunit ribosomal RNA (bases 100-1596)
Source: RNAcentral
GCCAAAAAGCUAGCUUUCUAACCAAAAAUCAUAACACCACCAUUCCCACCCACCUUACACAACACACAAAUAACUUAAUUAAAACAUUCUCCCACCUUAGUACGGGCGACGAAAAAGGCACAUCUUCUUAAGCAAUAGUAAAAGUACCGCAAGGGAAAGCUGAAAAAGAAAUGAAACAACUCAUCAAAGCACAACAAAGCAGAGACUAACUCUCGUACCUUUUGCAUCAUGAUUUAGCCAGCAAAACUGAGCAAAAAGAAUUUUAGUUCAAGACCCCGAAACCAAGCGAGCUACCUCGGGACAGCCAAAUCUAGGGCAAACCCGUCUCUGUGGCAAAAGAGUGGGAAGAUCCCCGGGUAGAGGUGAAAAGCCUACCGAGCCUGGUGAUAGCUGGUUGCCUAAAAAAUGAAUAGAAGUUCAGCCUCGUGCUCCUCACCUCCUAGACAACUAUGAAACAGAGAAAAACACGAGAGUUAAUCAAAAGAGGUACAACUCUUUUGACCAGGACACAACCUUACACAGGAGAUUAAAGACUAUACUUACUAAGAUUACUGCUUCAGUGGGCCUAAAAGCAGCCACCUGUCUAAGAAAGCGUUAAAGCUCAAACAGAAAAAAAUCUAUUAUCCCAGCAUUACCUCUAAUAUCCCUACUUAUAUUAGGCCUCUCCAUGAAAUCAUGGAGGAGACCCUGCUAAAACGAGUAAUAAGAAGAAACCCCUUCUCCUGACCCAUGUGUAAGUCAGACCGGACCAACCACUGAUAAUUAACGAACUCACCCAAGAGAGUAAUGUUCCCAAAACCAUAAACAAGAAAACCCCACACACCCCUUCGUUAACCCCACACUGGCGCGCCACCACAGGAAAGACUAAAAGGAGAGGAAGGAACUCGGCAAACACCAAGCCCCGCCUGUUUACCAAAAACAUCGCCUCCUGCUAACCCUUCAACGUAUAGGAGGUCUUACCUGCCCAGUGACAUUCGUGUUAAACGGCCGCGGUAUUUUGACCGUGCUAAGGUAGCGCAAUCACUUGUUUUUUAAAUGAAGACCUGUAUGAAUGGUGAAACGAGGGCUUAACUGUCUCCCCCUCCCAGUCAAUGAAACUGAUCUGUUCGUGCAGAAGCGAACAUAUACCUACAAGACGAGAAGACCCUUUGGAGCUUUAGACAAAGGCCAACUAUUCCCAACCCCUACAUUAAAUAGGACAAAACGAAAUACCACCUGACCAAAGUCUUCGGUUGGGGCGACCAUGGGGAAAAACAAAACCCCCACGUGGAAUAGACCAUUCUCUUUAUCCGAGAGAAAUAUCUCUAAGUCACAGAACAUCUGACCAUAAUGAUCCGACCAAUCGGCCGAUUAACAAACCAAGUUACCCUAGGGAUAACAGCGCAAUCCCCUUCAAGAGUCCUUAUCGACAAGGGGGUUUACGACCUCGAUGUUGGAUCAGGACAUCCUAAUGGCGCAGCCGCUAUUAAGGGUUCGUUUGUUCAACGAUUAAAGUCCUACGUGAUCUGAGUUCAGACCGGAGCAAUCCAGGUCAGUUUCUAUCUGUAAUGCUAUUUUUUCUAGUACGAAAGGACCGAGAAAAUGAGGCCCCUGCUUUAAGCACGCCUCCCUCUAACUUUAUGAAACCAACUCAAUUAAACAAAAGAAGGGCAUAAAUAAGCCCCGAGAUAAGAAAUAA